This is a long non-coding RNA of Thunnus maccoyii (southern bluefin tuna), 1206 nucleotides long. RefSeq lists it as uncharacterized. The transcript is spliced from 3 exons. NCBI's taxonomy places the organism in Eukaryota, Metazoa, Chordata, Actinopteri, Scombriformes, Scombridae. The record is from RefSeq and is a predicted model, not a curated record.
ACAUGUCUGCAUGGUCACAACAAAUUCGAGGCAUGCGGAUGUCUGCACAGAGCCUACGCGUACAUCCAAAAAAUGUAUGUUAUGUGUACCCUAGCGGACUCUCGCAUACUCAUGGACGUGGAAGGUAUAAUUUAGGCUUAAUGCGUAAAUGACGAAUCUUAGCGCUUGAAUUCUACGCAGGGCGUGUCUCGCCAAGAAAAGCAGUGGGAUCCAUAAUAACACAUCACCUACACCUUUCUUCUACACUAGAUGUCACCAAAACAUUGAUCGCUGGUUUUGUCAUUAUUUGUGGCGGUACCUUCAGUUUUUGUCCUGCAGAGGGAAAUCUUGUUUUGCAUCAACAUAUGACAGCUCCCCAGAAAUAAGUAUCUGCGUGGGAGCAGCGGUAGCAUUGAAAAAGCAAAAUGAUUGUUACGACCCCUUAUCAAGCCUGCAUCCCACAUGAGGAGUUUCUGAUUGUCCGUAAUGAUCAUGAAAUCUCAGAGCAGUGACUGUUAGAUUAAAAAUGUAAAGAAAGUGGAAUUAAAUCCAGAGAUUCCUUCUCAUAUUUCACUGCUCCUGGAUCCCUGCUCGUGGAUCAGUGCAUUGAAGAUAUGGUCUUUUUUUCAUAACAGCUGAUGUGUGUGUGUGUGUGCAGACAUACAGUUGUGAGCAAUAACUGAAUCCUCAGCAGGCAUCUGUCAGUGCUGCUCUGCUGAUGCUGCGGAUGCUGCUCUGCAUACUGGCACACAGGCGCAGCUCGGGAUAGGGACCAACUACCAGGUUAUUGAUCUGAUCGGACAGAUACCAAUCUCCAUGGAGCCUCACCUGUUCACCACAGCCUGCUUCCUGUUUGGCAUAUCAAACUCAAACUCACAUGAGCUCGGUGUCCACAUUUCUGUUCACUCUUCCUGGCCCUCAGAUGUUUUCGUGUCUAACAUACCUGGAGCAAAACGCCAGGGUGGACUGCAAGUUCCCACCCAUCUACCAGAUCCCAGGCCCCUACUGUGAGUAUCGGCAGGACAGCCGGCAGCCGGCUGGUGGGCAGCACCUACCCCAACGCCGUCAUCUAUGUGUCCACUGAAGACCGCAGGAGGAGAAACAUCAGCCUGGUCACUCCCAAUCUGUGCCGCCUCAUCUGGGCCCCGAUGGCUGAUGAGAAGCCUUACACCUACACCUGCAGGGUUUACCAAGGCACCACCUGGAAAGAGAACAGCAUGGCCGUGC